CUUCUGUGGCACAAUGGAUAACGCUCCUGAUUAUGGGUCAGCAGAUUCCACAUUCGAACCCUGGCAGGCUCG
RNAcentral lists this transfer RNA (72 nucleotides) under Schistosoma mansoni. The record is from RNAcentral. Lineage: Eukaryota; Metazoa; Platyhelminthes; Trematoda; Strigeidida; Schistosomatidae.